This 497-nucleotide ribosomal RNA is filed under the name uncultured bacterium. Its description in RNAcentral is "partial 16S ribosomal RNA". It matches the Rfam family "Bacterial small subunit ribosomal RNA", at positions 28 to 507 of the family's 1533-position model. The record is from RNAcentral.
GAUGAACGCUGGCGGCGUGCCUAAUACAUGCAAGUCGAGCGAACAGACGAGGAGCUUGCUCCUCUGACGUUAGCGGCGGACGGGUGAGUAACACGUGGAUAACCUACCUAUAAGACUGGGAUAACUUCGGGAAACCGGAGCUAAUACCGGAUAAUAUAUUGAACCGCAUGGUUCAAUAGUUAAAGACGGUUUUGCUGUCACUUAUAGAUGGAUCCGCGCCGCAUUAGCUAGUUGGUAAGGUAACGGCUUACCAAGGCAACGAUGCGUAGCCGACCUGAGAGGGUGAUCGGCCACACUGGAACUGAGACACGGUCCAGACUCCUACGGGAGGCAGCAGUAGGGAAUCUUCCGCAAUGGGCGAAAGCCUGACGGAGCAACGCCGCGUGAGUGAUGAAGGUCUUCGGAUCGUAAAACUCUGUUAUUAGGGAAGAAAAAAUGUGUAAGUAACUAUGCACGUCUUGACGGUACCUAAUCAGAAAGCAACGGCUAAUUACGUG